UCUCCGUUGGUGAACCAGCGGAGGGAUCAUUGCUGGAACGCGCCCCAGGCGCACCCAGAAACCCUUUGUGAACUUAUACCUUACUGUUGCCUCGGCGCAUGCCGGCCCCCCCGGGGGCCCCUCGGAGACGAGGAGCAGGCACGCCGGCGGCCAAGUUAACUCUUGUUUUUACACUGAAACUCUGAGAAAAAAAAACACAAAUGAAUCAAAACUUUCAACAACGGAUCUCUUGGUUCUGGCAUCGAUGAAGAACGCAGC
Molecule: unclassified non-coding RNA, 258 nt
Filed under: uncultured fungus
Lineage: Eukaryota; Fungi
Description: sequence contains ITS1, 5.8S rRNA gene
Rfam family: 5.8S ribosomal RNA (bases 210-258)
Source: RNAcentral